This 519-nucleotide ribosomal RNA is filed under the name uncultured methanogenic archaeon. RNAcentral's name for it is "bacterial SSU rRNA". It matches the Rfam family "Archaeal small subunit ribosomal RNA", at positions 27 to 554 of the family's 1478-position model. Lineage: Archaea; Methanobacteriati; Methanobacteriota. The record is from RNAcentral.
CUGCUAUCGGGGUUCGAUUAAGCCAUGCGAGUCGAGAGGUGCAAGACCUCGGCGCACUGCUCAGUAACACGUGGACAACCUACCCUCAGGAGGGGGAUAACCCCGGGAAACUGGGGAUAAUACCCCAUAGACCAGGGAUGCUGGAAUGCCUCCUGGUUCAAAGGUCCGCCGCCUGAGGAUGGGUCUGCGGCCGAUUAGGUUGUUGUUGGGGUAACGGCCCAACAAGCCGUUGAUCGGUACGGGUUGUGAGAGCAAGAGCCCGGAGAUGGAUUCUGAGACACGAAUCCAGGCCCUACGGGGCGCAGCAGGCGCGAAAACUUUACAAUGCGAGAAAUCGUGAUAAGGGAACCCCGAGUGCCCGUAAAUUCGGGCUGUCCGCCAGUGCAAAUAGCUGGUGAAGAAAGGGCCGGGCAAGACCGGUGCCAGCCGCCGCGGUAAUACCGGCGGCUCGAGUGGUGGCCACUAUUACUGGGCUUAAAGCGUCCGUAGCUUGAUUGUUAAGUCUCUUGGGAAAUCCAC